Molecule: long non-coding RNA, 1698 nt
Filed under: Capsicum annuum
Lineage: Eukaryota; Viridiplantae; Streptophyta; Magnoliopsida; Solanales; Solanaceae
Description: long non-coding RNA (CANN_LNC014237)
Source: RNAcentral
GAAUCUUCCAAAGGUAAUCCUUCUGAGUUGGUUGUACUAAGUCCGAACCACCACAAGGUCUCCUUCCAUAAUCUAGUAAGCAUCUUUUGUCAUCCCAUAAAGUAGAUAUCGUUAAUAUGAUAUUAAAUCAAACCACAAGUACAUCAAAGUGGCCCCUCUACAAUAACCAACUCAUGCACACACACUUUCAAUAACACUUGCAGACAAUUCUACAUGUUUUCCAAGUGUAACUUUCUUUACUCAAAACUCACCAUCACAAUAAUCAAUAUGCUUUCUCGACCCCAACUGACUCAUGGCUCUCUAGAGAACCUCUAAAUUAUUUUCUAAAAUCUGAAUGUCAAAACCUACCAUCGAUAUCACCACUAGUCUACAAUAAAACCAUUAAAAGAUCACCUAAAAAUAUGCCAAAAUCCACCAAACUCAAUACAUCGUCUAAUCCCAUUAUGCACUCUAAGUGAGUCACAAUAUAAGAUCAAUACACCUGAUCCACCACUAAGAAAUCAUCUAUGGGGUAGCAAUAUCAACAGACCCAAAAUAACUCACCAAUUACAUUAAAACCCAAUGUAAAAAAAGUGAACACAUAACAAAAUACAGAACCAUAAUCCAAUACUACCAAGACAAAUAAAAAACACACUAAAACCAUACUGUGGCUACUAUACCAAAAUGUCUUACCUCAUUUCCAUCCUGGUAUCUUGAUUUUGAAUCUUGUCAUCUAUUGGAGCAAACAAUAAAACAUCUAUGUCUAAGCAGUUGACAAUCCCUCCUAUAGUGACUGAGACCUCCACACCAAAAGUAAAUCGAAGAAGUUAGAGCUUACUAAACCAAGCCUGAAGGAUCUAAAGGACAACCCUAACAUAACCCUCCAUCAUGCAUAUUACUAUGAUCAUAAAAUACUUAGGCCCUCUAGCCCGCAAGCCUCUCAUAUAUCCACACAAACUCCUCUAAGAACACUCAAGCAAGCGAAUCUCAUGAAAUAAAAAAUGAUCCAACUUGUCUAACCUCUAGAAAGGUCCUCCACAAUUGUCUAGAUAUCCUAAAAAAUUGAAAGAAAUUGAAGUUUACUUCACUAAAAUCCUCACAACCCAACCUAUACAACCUGUCUUUACAACUAAAAAAGCAUAUAUAAGCAUCAAACCUAGAAUCUCUAUCACAAUAAAGUGGAUUUGUCCUUAUGAACUCUACAUAUCUACUUUGUCCUUCUAUGGUCAUUAGGGGUAUGGUCACUAAUGUGGAGCAAUCCCCGACAAUACCUCAUCAAUACUAGGAGAACCAGUAGUAGUCAUAUGUGCAUCUAGAAUCAGAAGCCUUGAAGUAGCAUGCUGAACCAAAAUAGGAGUCAUCACAUGAAGAAAACCCAACUCUUGAAUCAAAAAAUUCUCAAUCAUAGGUAUAGUAUUCGAUGGUGUUUGCGCUGGCCGCAACCCCUCAACCUCACUAGACCUACCACCCCUAAACACUCUAGAACCUAAAGGGGAAACUCUAACCUAACCUCUAGCUGGUCUGGUUAUCUCAAUAUGACCUUUGCCUAGAACCCUUCUCCUUUUGUGCAUCAAAGGCACAGGCUCUUAAUCUCUAGACAUGGAAGACGUGUUCUAAUUUGAGGUGGAUUUAUGCACCUCAAUGUUGUUAUCAGGACUUAUUUAGCCUUAUUUUAAGGACUUCUUGUAUGAUUAAUGAGUUUUUAAUAAUAUAAAAGAG